This is a long non-coding RNA of Limulus polyphemus (Atlantic horseshoe crab), 3139 nucleotides long. RefSeq lists it as uncharacterized. The record is from RefSeq and is a predicted model, not a curated record. Lineage: Eukaryota; Metazoa; Arthropoda; Merostomata; Xiphosura; Limulidae. The transcript has 3 exons.
AUGUUAUGUUUAAAAUGUUUUCAAACAAUACAGGGUGAUGUAACAUUGUUUGAUUUUGUUUUUCACCAGAAUGCAUGUAAAUCGAAACGUUUUUCUCCCUGCAGUUAAGUUACUUAGAAAUUUUGUAGACUGGAGAAAAUGUUAAUGCUGUUUUACAGAUACUAGUGAAAAUUACUUUACUGAAGCUUUAGAAGGAAAAUACCCAUGUCUGCAGUUACACUUGGAAAGAAGGAAAUGUCAGAUAGAAGUCAAGAAAAAAGAUUUUUCAACAUUUGAUGAUGUAGUAGAAAAUACUGAAAUAGCACAGGGUGUGUUACUUGGGGUUGUCUGCAACUUCAAGCUGGUUCCUUGAUAAAUUGUGGUUUAAUGGACUGUUAUCAUGAUGCAUCCAUAUUGCCACAGAUAGCUAGAAACUAGUGAAUUUAUAACUGAUAUAACUAAUUAUGAAAAUUUUCCUUUUCAAGAAAACAUGAAGGAAGAGCUAUUGUAAAGAGUAUGGUUGGAAUUCAUAUAAAUAUUCUGAAAAAUGUUAGACCAUCUGCUGUUAGUGAUAAUCAAUUAACUGAUAUAUUCUGGUCCAGUAGUAGAUUAAGAUAAAAAUUAGUACUUUUUCACAUUUUUGUUUUUAUAACUUACCAGAAUAUAUAGAUUUUUGAAGGAAUAAUACACAUAAUAUCUGUUAAAAGGUAUACUGUCUUUGAUUCAUGCUCUCCAUUGUUAUUUCUACAACAGUGAGAAGACUUUAACACUUGUUAGAUAAUACAAAAGUACUGUGAGGAAAGUUAUUUAAUUCUUAAGUUAGAUGAGUCCAGAGUCAAUAAGUUUAAGAGAGUGAGAAACAGAAAGGAGGAGAAUUGGUACUAUAAUUACAGAAAUGUAAAAUAAAGGUCUUUUGAAUACCUCAGGUUAUAUGUCAAUAGUGGAAUGGUUAAUGCUGUAAACUGCAGAAAUCCUCAAGAGUUUGAAAUAUUUUGCUAAAAUAUAUAUAUGUUAAUGUCAAAGGGCUGUUGAAAAAUUUUGACAGACUGGUGUUGCUCUUACUAUGAUAAUAAAGUGUGAGUAAAUUGUUUGUUAGAGUUAUCGAAUAAAUAUAUGCGUAUCUGUCACUGCAGUUAGGAGAAGACACAUUACUGGAGAUAGAGUAGAAUAAUGAAAAAAUUGUUGAAUUUAAUCGAUUACUCCUGUAGGAUCUUUUUAUACAUCAUAUGAUUGUUCUGUGAAGAUUUGUAACACUUAGGACUUUCCUAAUUUUCAAACAAUGGUUUUGUGUCUAAUACCUGUUUUUCUAGAAAUUUCCUGUGAUGCUUGUAUGGUUAGUGAUUUUUGUGUGCAAGAUUUCUCUUUCUUGCUUUAAAAAAGUAAAAAACAAAUGAUUCUGUUUCCUAUCUGGUAUUGUACUGUUCUUUCACUUUGAUGUAAGGAUCAGUUUUUUCUACCCAGAGCUAACUCAACAUUUAUGAAAUGUACAAAACUUUGACACAUUUUCACCCAUUCUCAUGUCCAGUUGUAUCUAACACUUUGGUAAUGAUCAUACUAUCACUCUAGCACAUUUCUUAUUGGUGAAAGAGUAUCUCAUUAAUUUUGUAAUAUUUUAAGUGUGAAGUGCAUCUUUAAAAUGAAAAGGCUGAAAAAAUUAGUAUAGCAGCAGAUCUUAAAAGUAGCUGGAUUCUGAAUAUUCAGAAAUAAGUACAUAUUUGAAUCCCAUUUUAAGUUCUGUAAAGUUCUGUUUAAGGAUAGUAACUUUAUUACAUUAAGAUUCUUUAUGUAGGACAUAUGUUUUCAAAAGCUUUAAGAUUUGAUAAUAAUUUUGUACUAUGAUUAAUUGAUGAGUACUUCUAUUUUCAUCUUGGCAAAAACUGUUCUUGUGAAGAAUAAACCACUGAACAUAUGAGAAGAAUGUGGCAUUACUCCUAUUUUAUCUGGAAGUGACCAUGAAUGUAAUAAUGAAGAUGAAAAUUACCUUGAUCUUGAUAAUGUGUAUGAAGAGGAAACAAUUGACUUGUGGAAAGCCAGUAACUAAAAGCUGAAAUCUCCCUAAAAAAAAGAAACUUAUCCAACUAACAGAGAAAGCAUAUACCUAUGACCUGUGUGAUAGAAGUUUAAAAUCACAUAAUUUCAUCUACACAGGAAAAAGACCAUACUGUUGUAAUAUUUGUGGAAAGAAAUUCAGGGUGUCCAGCCACUUAAAAGACCAUCGGGUGAUUCACACGGGAAUGAGACUUUAUAGUUGUUACAUAAGUGGAAGAACAUGUACACAAGCUGGAAACCAGAUACCAUUUGAUCCAUAAGAAACAUAAUUUGUAUGUUAAAAUGUAUUUUUUAAGCAUUUGUUAUAGCUUUGUAUUUAUAUGAUUAUUUGAAUGGAAAAACAUGUUGUUAAGACUGUUGAAGAGUUUACAAUAAGUGAUCCAGAAAACAGUUAUCAGUUAUUAGCUAUAAAAGAGCUAACUAAUCUUUGAGAAAUAAGAUACAAAUAGUUGUAAAGAGAAAGGAUCUUAAUGAUUAUUUGUCAGAAAAUUUUUGAUUUAAAUUCUGUUUAAGUGUGUUGUUUUAUUGUUGAAACUUUCAAAGUAUUUGAGCUAACAGCAAAAUGAAUAACACUAGGCAAUGACAACAACAACACAUUUUCUCUGCUACUAGAAAAAAAUGCAACUGUUUCUAAAUAAUUUGACGAUGCUGAUUCUAAAAAUCAUGUUGAAAAUUACUAUCACCUUUAGUUUUCUAGUUAUGAUAGACUUAUUCAAAUUAUUCUUAUAUAUUGUGAAAAUUGCAUGAGUGUAAAACAAGUGUAAUAAGAUUAUAUAGUGAAAAUACAUUCAGGCUAUUUUCAAAAGUUUCAUUGUGGUAAUUUUUUUGUUACAAAAUAUCUGCUUGACCUGUUGUGCCUUUUUUGUAUAUUCUCAAUUUCUUUCUGUAAGAACCAUCAGUAAUCUCCCAUUAUUGCAGGGUUCCAUCAUCCUUGAUAUUGCUGUUCUAUUGUAACAAUAUCUUGGUGGAAGCGCUCACCAUGCUGAUCACUCUCUGCACCUGAAAAAAACAGUUAACUUUUAAAUGUUACAUAUCUGCAUUAAUUUAUUUAUUAAGAAUCUAUCAAUCAUAGUUUAAAUAUUAUUUCUCCAAGUAUUUUUUUAUCAGAACU